RNAcentral lists this ribosomal RNA (1487 nucleotides) under metagenome. Its description in RNAcentral is "bacterial LSU rRNA". It matches the Rfam family "Bacterial large subunit ribosomal RNA", at positions 1422 to 2925 of the family's 2925-position model. The record is from RNAcentral.
UAACAAGUUGAUAUUCCUGUACCGUACUUAAGCGUUUGACUGAAGCAGUGACACAGAAGGAUAGACAGACCGGGGGAAUGGUAGACUCCGGCCAAGCAGUGAGGCUGACAUGUAGUGAAGUACGCAUGUUAAGGCUGGGCUGUGAUGGGGACUGAAGAUUAGUAGGGAAGCUGUUGAAUUCACACUGGCGAGAAAAGCUGCUAAGGAGCGAGAGUAUGCCCGUACCGCAAACCGACACAGGUAGGCGAGGAGAGAAUCCUAAGACGAGCGGGAGAACCCUUGUUAAGGAACUCGGCAAAAUGACUCCGUAACUUAGGGAGAAGGAGUGCCUCGAGAGAGGCCGCAGAGAAUAGGCCCAAGCGACUGUUUACCAAAAACACAGGUCUGUGCGAAGUAGAGAUACGACGUAUACGGGCUGACGCCUGCCCAGUGCCGGAAGGUUAAGGGGAAGUGUUAGGGCAACCGAAGCACGGAACUUAAGCCCCGGUGAACGGCGGCCGUAACAAUAACGGUCCUAAGGUAGCGAAAUUCCUUGUCGGGUAAGUUCCGACCCGCACGAAUGGCGUAACGACUUGGGCACUGUCUCAACAAGGGACCCGGCGAAAUUGUAGUAUGUGUGAAGAUGCACAUUACCCGCGAUAGGACGGAAAGACCCCGUAGAGCUUUACUGUAGUUUAACAUUGGAUUUUGAUAACACAUGUACAGGAUAGGUGGGAGGCUGAGAAACCGGCACGCCAGUGCCGAUGGAGCCGCUGUUGGGAUACCACUCUUGUGUUAUUGGAGUUCUAACGAAGUGCCGUAAACCGGGCUUCGGACAGUGUUAGAUGGGCAGUUUGACUGGGGCGGUCGCCUCCGAAAGAGUAACGGAGGCGUCCAAAGGUUCCCUCAGAAUGGUUGGAAACCAUUCACAGAGUGCAAAGGCAGAAGGGAGCUUGACUGCGAGACCGACAGGUCGAGCAGGUACGAAAGUAGGGCUUAGUGAUCCGGCGGUAUGAGAGUGGAAUUGCCGUCGCUCAACGGAUAAAAGCUACCUCGGGAUAACAGGCUGAUCUCCCCCAAGAGUUCACAUCGACGGGGAGGUUUGGCACCUCGAUGUCGGCUCGUCGCAUCCUGGGGCUGGAGCAGGUCCCAAGGGUUUGGCUGUUCGCCAAUUAGAGCGGCACGCGAGCUGGGUUCAGAACGUCGUGAGACAGUUCGGUCCCUAUCCAUCGUGGGCGCAGGAGAUUUGAGAGGAGCUGUCCUUAGUACGAGAGGACCGGGAUGGACGCACCAAGGGUGAAUCAGUUGUCGUGCCAACGGCACAGCUGGGUAGCCAAGUGCGGAUCGGAUAAACGCUGAAGGCAUCCAAGCGUGAAGCCGACCUCAAGAUAAGAUCUCCCAUCCGAAAGGAGUAAGACCCCAUGAAGACCACAUGGUUGAUAGGCCGGAGGUGGAAGUGCAGUAAUGUACGGAGCUGACCGGUACUAAUAGGUCGAGGGCUUGAUCAU